RNAcentral lists this unclassified non-coding RNA (386 nucleotides) under Bombus terrestris (buff-tailed bumblebee). RNAcentral's name for it is "misc RNA ENSBTSG00005030336.1". Lineage: Eukaryota; Metazoa; Arthropoda; Insecta; Hymenoptera; Apidae. The record is from RNAcentral.
AGACUUUUAGAAAUGGAUCCAUCAAAAUUCAAUAACCAUCUUCAGUAACGAGUGUGUGUCAUAAGUUUAAUAUGCAUUACUAAAUUGUUCAAAUUUCUUUUGCGAGCGCGAAGUGUAAUCAUUUCAUUGAAAUACGGGCAUUCACUUUUACAAUGCUCUGUUAACAUUAGUCUAAAGCUCUUAAUUUCGCUUAGUUUUGCAUAUAUAUCUUUAAUGUCUGAACCUAUAAUUACGUUUACAGAUUCGCUAUAUAAGUAUAACGUUUAGCUUAGCUAAUUAUGAAAAAGGUGAAGAUCGUCCUGGAAAAUAAGGUUUAAUACGAUUACCAUAUAUUUUCCUAAUCGAGUCAUUCACCAUUAUUUCGUAAUAAGGGAUUUUUACUUUUU